GGGCCCGAGUUUGAUCAUGGCUCAGGACGAACGCUGGCGGCGUGCUUAACACAUGCAAGUCGAACGCAUGCAUCCCUUCGGGGAUGUGAUGAGUGGCGAACGGGUGAGUAACACGUGAGCAACCUACCCUUGACUCUGGAAUAACAGCUGGAAACAGCUGCUAAUACCGGAUAUGACUCUUCUCGACAUCGGGAGGGGUGGAAAGUUCUGGCGGUCAAGGAUGGGCUCGCGGCCUACCAGCUAGUUGGUGAGGUAACGGCUCACCAAGGCUUCGACGGGUAGCCGGCCUGAGAGGGCGACCGGCCACACUGGGACUGAGACACGGCCCAGACUCCUACGGGAGGCAGCAGUGGGGAAUAUUGCACAAUGGGCGAAAGCCUGAUGCAGCGACGCCGCGUGAGGGAUGAAGGCCUUCGGGUUGUAAACCUCUUUCGACCCUGACGAAGCGCAAGUGACGGUAGGGGGAGAAGAAGCACCGGCCAACUACGUGCCAGCAGCCGCGGUUAGCU
Molecule: ribosomal RNA, 509 nt
Filed under: uncultured bacterium
Lineage: Bacteria
Description: bacterial SSU rRNA
Rfam family: Bacterial small subunit ribosomal RNA
Source: RNAcentral